RNAcentral lists this transfer RNA (71 nucleotides) under Marmota monax (woodchuck). RNAcentral describes it as "tRNA.Ala". The stretch from base 6 to 66 matches the Rfam family "tRNA", at positions 6 to 65 of the family's 71-position model. From Rfam's summary of the family: Transfer RNA (tRNA) molecules are approximately 80 nucleotides in length. Their secondary structure includes four short double-helical elements and three loops (D, anti-codon, and T loops). Lineage: Eukaryota; Metazoa; Chordata; Mammalia; Rodentia; Sciuridae. The record is from RNAcentral.
GGGGUUGUGGCUCAGUGAUAGAGCACUUGCCUAGCAUGUAUGAGGCACUGGGUUCAAUUCCCAGCACUGCA